RNAcentral lists this ribosomal RNA (498 nucleotides) under uncultured bacterium. RNAcentral describes it as "bacterial SSU rRNA". It matches the Rfam family "Bacterial small subunit ribosomal RNA", at positions 1012 to 1509 of the family's 1533-position model. The record is from RNAcentral.
GGGUCGGUUCGGCCGGAUUUCACACAGGUGUUGCAUGGCUGUCGUCAGCUCGUGUCGUGAGAUGUUGGGUUAAGUCCCGCAACGAGCGUAACCCUCAUCCUUAGUUGCCAUCAGGUAAUGCUGAGCACUUUAAGGAAACUGCUAGUGAUAAACUGGAGGAAGGUGGGAUGAUGUCAAGUCAUCAUGGCCCUUAUGGAGUGGGCUACACACGUGCUACAAUGGUGGCUACAAUGGGCUGCAAAGUCGCGAGGCCAAGCUAAUCCCUUAAAAGCCAUCUCAGUUCGGAUUGUACUCUGCAACUCGAGUGCAUGAAGUUGGAAUCGCUAGUAAUCGUGGAUCAGCAUGCCACGGUGAAUACGUUCUCGGGUCUUGUACACACUGCCCGUCACGCCAUGGGAAUUGGUUUCACUCGAAGCUAAUGACCUAACCGCAAGGAGGGAGUUAUUUAAAGUGGGAUCAGUGACUGGGGUGAAGUCGUAACAAGGUAAGCGUAGUGCU